AAUAGCCUCUGGAAACGGAGAGUAAUACCGUAUACGCCCUUUGGGGGAAAGAUUUAUCGGAGAAGGAUCGGCCCGCGUUAGAUUAGGUAGUUGGUGGGGUAACGGCCUACCAAGCCUACGAUCUAUAGCUGGUUUUAGAGGAUGAUCAGCAACACUGGGACUGAGACACGGCCCAGACUCCUACGGGAGGCAGCAGUGGGGAAUCUUAGACAAUGGGGGCAACCCUGAUCUAGCCAUGCCGCGUGAGUGAUGAAGGCCUUAGGGUCGUAAAGCUCUUUCGCCUGUGAUGAUAAUGACAGUAGCAGGUAAAGAAACCCCGGCUAACUCCGUGCCAGCAGCCGCGGUAAUACGGAGGGGGUUAGCGUUGUUCGGAAUUACUGGGCGUAAAGCGCGCGUAGGCGGAUUAGAAAGUUGGGGGUGAAAUCCCGGGGCUCAACCUCGGAACUGCCUCCAAAACUGCUAGUCUAGAGUUCGAGAGAGGUGAGUGGAAUUCCGAGUGUAGAGGUGAAAUUCGUAGAUAUUCGGAGGAACACCAGUGGCGAAGGCGGCUCACUGGCUCGAUACUGACGCUGAGGUGCGAAAGUGUGGGGAGCAAACAGGAUUAGAUACCCUGGUAGUCCACACCGUAAACGAUGAAUGCCAGUCGUCGGGUAGUAUACUAUUCGGUGACACACCUAACGGAUUAAGCAUUCCGCCUGGGGAGUACGGUCGCAAGAUUAAAACUCAAAGGAGUUGACGGGGGCCCGCACAAGCGGUGGAGCAUGUGGUUUAAUUCGAAGC
RNAcentral lists this ribosomal RNA (780 nucleotides) under uncultured marine bacterium. Its description in RNAcentral is "bacterial SSU rRNA". It matches the Rfam family "Bacterial small subunit ribosomal RNA", at positions 142 to 957 of the family's 1533-position model. The record is from RNAcentral.